CCGGAGUCAAAUCUUGGGCCGGGUCCAAGGGCCUGAGCGCCUGGUUUAGGCCGGAAAUGGUCUAGUUCUCAGAGGUGGUCCGAUCCCUAACCAGUCCCAGGCCCAGCCCCAGCCCAGCACCACCUGGAAGGUUCAAGUACAUGGAGGAGAGGAGUAAGGCGGACUUGGGCGUAUGGAGAAAGGGGUGAAGGGAGAAAGAGGACUUGCGCUCAGGAGGGAGCGUGGCCUACUGGUGGGAAAGCAGGCGUGGCCGCCUGUGCGGGAGGUUGCGGAUCCACAGUGGGCGAGACCAGGCCCCAGCCCCAUCAGGGCGCGGGGUGCGCAGCCAGGUGGUGCUCCAGCAGCGCCCAGUGAGAGGAGACCUUGCGGUAGACGGGGGAAGGGCGCGCGCUCUGGCCGCUGAGUGCGCAUGUGCAUAUUGAGCGAACUCUUCUGCGGGAAGGGCUUGGCGUAGACCGCGCACUGGAAGGCGUGCGCGCAGGUGUGCGUGACCAUGUGCUUGAAACGGCAGUAGCGCAGCGAGAAGGAUCGCCAUCACACGGCGCACUGGUGCGGCUUCUCCCCCGAGUGGAUGAACAUGUGCUUGGUGUCGUUUUUCCUUGAGCUGAACGUCUUGCAACAGUGGCCGCACGCAUAGGCAAGUGGCUCGGCACCAGGAGUGCGAGCAGUGGUGCCUGAGGGGGCCGUGGUGGGAGCAGCAGAGGGAGCCGGGGCCUCCCGCAGCUGAGUGCCGGGGGCUGCCUCGGGCUGGAGUGUGGGGUAGAAGGCGGGUGGGGGCGCAGGGGCUGGCACGGAUGGUGCUGAAGGGGGUGGUGCGGGUGGUUCGGGAGCACCCAAGUGAAAGGGGAAGAGUGCGACAGGCGGCCCUGGGGUCUUCACGCCAGGCGGGCGGGGUCCAGCCAGUAUGCAGUCGGGCUGGACAGGGGUCUCGGUGGGACAGCCUUCGGGGACAGCGCCAUCCUUGUCGUGCCAAGCGGUUACAUAGCUGUCUGGAAAUACGUCCUCAGCUGCCCCAGAUCCCGGAAGAAAAUCUCUCCCACACCACUGUAGUCAGAGAGGCCAGUGGGUGCAUGGAACUCCUCGCACGCGCUGUCAGCAGCAGCAGUGAGGAAGCCGGCAGCACAGUCUGGGAAGGAAGGAGGUGCUUGGCUCUCUCCCGGGCCGCCACCUUCGCCGUCCUCGCCAUCGGUCUCAUCGUCAGUUUCCUCGUCAUCGUUGUCACCUCGGUCGUCAGGGGCCGCGGACAGUGAGGGGUAGGCACCAAGCCCCUCGGCUUUGGCAGGUGUCGGGGGCGCAGGCAGCUGCAAACUCGCGGGCCGGCGCUGCUUACCGCUGUGCGCGGCACCGGGGUGCCCCGGGGGUGCGCAGCCAGCAGGUGGCGCAGGCGGUGACGCAGCUGCUCAGGUGCGAGUGGCGGGGGCACAGGGGUGGGCAGGGGCGCGGGUGCAGAGGUGCUCGCGGGUGCAGAGGAGCGCGUGCGAUAAUCUGCGUGCAUUCGUCGAUAACUGUCUAUGCGAAGCACCGACGCAGCCAUGAGUACCUGCGGGGCUUCACUCUGUGCCACAACGAGCGAACCGCUGUACAGGAGCUCGACUAGCUGUCGCACCGUCUGCACAGGCACCACCGAAGGCACACGGAUCUCAGAGGGGCCGAGCAGCAGCUUGUCUUGGAAGGAGGGCGAGCCGAUUGCCAGCCCGCAGCGGUGCGCACGCAGCGAAGCUUCAUGAAUGCACACAGUCACGUCGCAGAAGUGCCCACCCAGCUUCUGCCCAUUGAGGGUCUCAAGCAGAGAGCGUGAGAAGUUCUGCAGAUGUAUGUGGCGCACAGCCUCUACAGCCGCCGACUCCGACUCCUCUUCAGGCACCAGGCCUGGCCGUGGCCGCCUUCUCACCGACUCCAAGGCAGCACUUCCGGGCGCUUCUCUUUAUUUUUAUACAGUUUUAUUGAGAUAUAAUUUACAUGCUAUCCAGCCCAUCUAUUUCAAGUGUACCAUGCAAGGGGUUUGUAUAUAUUCACAGAGUUGUGUAUCCAUCACCAUCGUUUUAGAACAUUCAUCACUCCAGAAGAAACUACUACCCAUCAGCAGCCACUGCCCAUUUCCCUGAUCUGCCCCGCCCUAGGAAAUCCGUAAUCACUUUCAGUCUAUGGAUUUGCCUAUUCUAGACCAUUCAUAUAAAUGAAGUCACACAACACUGGGUCUUAUGUGACUGGCUUCUAUCAAAGUUUGCAAGGUUCAUUUAUGUUCAUGGUAUGUAUCAGUAGCUUGUUACUUUUUAUGUUUGACUUCUAUUCUGUUACUUACCUACACCGUAUUUUAUCUAUCUCUUCUGCAGUUUAUGGGAUUUAGGUCGUUUCCACGUUUUGGCUGUUCUAAAUAAUGCUGCUCUGAGCGUUCACAUACAAGCUUUUCACAUGAUUUCAUUUCUCCAGAUCUAGGAGUGCAAUUGCUAUAUUAUAUGGCAACCCCGUGUUUCACUUUUUGACAAAGUGCCAGACUGCUUUUCAAAGGACAGCAUCAUUUUAUAUUCCUGCCAGCAAUGUCGAGGGGUCCAGUUUCCACACAUUCUCACAAACACUUAUUGUUAUCUGUCUCUCUAGUUAUUGCCUUCCUGAUGGAUGUGGAGUGCUUUCUCAUUGGUUUUGAUUUGCAUUGUUUAAAUGAGUUAUAAGAUUGAGCAUGUUUUCAUGUUUAUUGGCUGCUUGUAUAUCUUCUUUGGAGAAAUGUCUAUUCAGAUUGUCUCCCCAUUUUAAAAUCGUGUUAUUUUCUUUUUUACUAUUGACUUGUGAAUGUUCA
RNAcentral lists this long non-coding RNA (2794 nucleotides) under Homo sapiens (human). Its description in RNAcentral is "non-protein coding LINC01106:1". The record is from RNAcentral. Lineage: Eukaryota; Metazoa; Chordata; Mammalia; Primates; Hominidae.